AAAAGGGCUACAUUGAACAUAAUGAUCGUUUCUCCACCAACUCUGAAUCCACUGUAUUCGAAACUUCAGUUAAUGAUGACUGAGCGAGAAUCCUUGACAGAUGAUAGUUAUAGAACAAAUUCUUGUCAGGAUGCAGUUACUUGCCAAAUCCCUAAUUUUUGCCUAAAUUGCCCCAGGGUGAGGUACUCAAUCUAGCGGGAUAUAUAUUCAUCAUUUUUUCAUGUCUCUAAC
RNAcentral lists this long non-coding RNA (231 nucleotides) under Lathyrus oleraceus (garden pea). RNAcentral describes it as "Pisum sativum (pea) long non-coding RNA (PSAT_LNC008600)". Lineage: Eukaryota; Viridiplantae; Streptophyta; Magnoliopsida; Fabales; Fabaceae. The record is from RNAcentral.